This is a long non-coding RNA of Poecilia latipinna (sailfin molly), 1698 nucleotides long. RefSeq lists it as uncharacterized. The record is from RefSeq and is a predicted model, not a curated record. NCBI's taxonomy places the organism in Eukaryota, Metazoa, Chordata, Actinopteri, Cyprinodontiformes, Poeciliidae. The transcript has 2 exons.
UUUAUUUUUUUAGGGAUCAAGCUUUAGCUCUCACCCUAUAAAUAAAAUGGACUUCCUUGUCUUCUGUAUUUGAACACAUGAUGUCUAUUUAAAUUUGUUGAUGUUUCCAACUUCCUGUCUGAUUUCCGGACUCGGACUCCGGCAGCACCGGGCCGCCGUGUCUCGGCCGCCGCCUCAGCCGUCUCUGCAUGCGGUCAGACGUGCUGGACAUCCCGGGUGUUUGACCCACAGCGGGUCCCAUGCCGCCGCCGCCGCCGCCGCCGCCGCUGACUGACCGACUGGCUGCACUUUGCUCGGGUUCAUUUAGGGGGCGCCAGUGUAUAAUGUGCGCAUAUUGAGCGACUGAGAUUUGGACAGAGAGGAGAGCAGCAGGAACAGAUGGCCUGAGAUGGCAGCGUACUGAAGGCAAAUUUGAGCUCAGAUCAUUUGGAGCAUCCUGCCACGGACCGAGCGAUCAGGAGAGCACUCCAACAUUUUGGGCGGGGGGGAAUAAAAUAUGCACACAAUACAAACCCACAGCGGAUCAAACACAGUUGUCACAGUUUGCUGAGAGCUCCGGCUUUCUGGCCUCGCACUCCGUGUUUGGGAAGAAAUUUGGGCGUUUUUCUCUAAUAUUCAGGAUGUUCAUCAUGUUUCUGGAAAAAAACAACUGAAGACUGUAUAUAUGUGCACGUUGUAGUGUAAAAUUAACUGUCUUACAGAGUGUUAAACUUUGAGGUAGUCAUGUAGAAGAAAUACUAAUUGUUGGCAUUCUGGAAGAAUAAGUGAAUUUUGUAAAACACGUGGUAAUUUACUAUAAAAUGUACUUUUCAGGCGUAUUUUGAAUACAUUUUUCAAUAAAUUCUGAGGAAGAGACGAAAGGAACCAAAUGUGUUAAAUUUAACCUGGUGUGAGGAAUUUGAGGAAGCGGACAGUGAGAUGAAGUGUGUCACGAUGUCGGGUUUUUUUCUCUGUUUAAAGUCAGACAUUCACAGCUGAGGGCUCAGUGUGUCUGUGAAGCAUCUGCAUUGUUUGACAGCAUGGAUCUUUUCUUUAUCACGUCUCCUUUCAGGCCAUCAUCACAAUGAAUUUAGAUUUUUCAGCCUCGAGUCUCACAGUAAAGAUCGAUGUGUAAGAAUGAAGAGGAAUUCCCGUCUGAACCUAGAAGACGACAGUUUGGUUUUAAGAAUAAGGCAAGACAGAAAUUUCAGUUUAAACCAAGGAGGAAAAUGUCAUUUAUGUCAAAAGUCAUUUAUGCAUUACAAACUGAGGUUAUGGCACAAAUAAAUCACCACAUUUAGUCUCAACUUAAUAUGGGAAUGCUUCAACAACAGGACAAAAACACCCAAAUAUCAAAUAAAAAUACUCACUGCUGCUUAGGAGGCUCUACAGAAAAGGCUGAUUUGUCUAACAAUAAGUUUAAUAAUGAAAUAUUUGAUCAAGUCUAAAACUGUCAGUAGAGGAUUCCAUAAUUCUUCUAAUAUAAAAAUGAAAAACAAAGUUAGGGAUGUUUAAUGUUUCAUCAUGUUUCGCUAAAUUAGUCAUUUGAAGGAAGGUGGAAAUGACUCCUUGGAUCAAUAAUAUAGAAUAACUGCUUAAGGUUGUCAUAUUUUGUGUGACAGACGGGUUUUCCGUACAUCCACCACUGCCACUUCAUCUCUGAUAUAUUAUAAAAAGAAUCACAUUUCUGAUGAAUAUAGAAUAAAAACAUUCCUUGAG